RNAcentral lists this ribosomal RNA (497 nucleotides) under uncultured bacterium. RNAcentral's name for it is "partial 16S ribosomal RNA". It matches the Rfam family "Bacterial small subunit ribosomal RNA", at positions 28 to 507 of the family's 1533-position model. The record is from RNAcentral.
GAUGAACGCUGGCGGCGUGCCUAAUACAUGCAAGUCGAGCGAACAGAUGAGGAGCUUGCUCCUCUGACGUUAGCGGCGGACGGGUGAGUAACACGUGGAUAACCUACCUAUAAGACUGGGAUAACUUCGGGAAACCGGAGCUAAUACCGGAUAAUAUAUUGAACCGCAUGGUUCAAUAGUGAAAGACGGUUUUGCUGUCACUUAUAGAUGGAUCCGCGCCGCAUUAGCUAGUUGGUAAGGUAACGGCUUACCAAGGCAACGAUGCGUAGCCGACGUGAGAGGGUGAUAGGCCACACUGGAACUUAGACACGGUCCAGACUCCUACGGGAGGCAGCAGUAGGGAAUCUUCCGCAAUGGGCGAAAGCCUGACGGAGCAGCGCCGCGUGAGUGAUGAAGGUCUUCGGAUCGUAAAACUCUGUUAUUAGUGAAGAACAAAUGUGUAAGUAACUGUGCACGGCUUGACGGUACCUAAUCAGAAAGCCACGGCUAACUACGUG